GACAGAGGGUGCAAACGUUGCUCGGAAUUACUGGGCGUAAAGCGCGUGUAGGUGGAUUGGUGUGUCAGAUGUGAAAGCCCUGGGCUCAACCCAGGAACUGCACCUGAAACUACCAGUCUUGAGUGGUGGAGAGGGAAGUGGAAUUCCUGGUGUAGAGGUGAAAUUCGUAGAUAUCAGGAGGAACACCAGUGGCGAAGGCGGCUUCCUGGACACUAACUGACGCUGAGACGCGAAAGCGUGGGGAGCAAACAGG
RNAcentral lists this ribosomal RNA (253 nucleotides) under uncultured bacterium. RNAcentral describes it as "partial 16S ribosomal RNA". It matches the Rfam family "Bacterial small subunit ribosomal RNA", at positions 524 to 776 of the family's 1533-position model. The record is from RNAcentral. RNAcentral also lists the same sequence under 1 other name.